CCGAGUACCGGAGCCUUCGGGUUCCUACUCCCACCCUAUGUUGACUUUGAAUGUUGCUUUGGCGGACCGGUGGUCUCACCGCUGGCCUAGGCUAGAGAGCGUCCGCCAGAGGAUUUUGAACUCUGUUUAACGGUGAAUUCUGAGUCUUGAUAAAUUGAAUCA
This 162-nucleotide unclassified non-coding RNA is filed under the name uncultured fungus. RNAcentral's name for it is "sequence contains ITS1, 5.8S rRNA gene". Lineage: Eukaryota; Fungi. The record is from RNAcentral. RNAcentral also lists the same sequence under 1 other name.